CCUACGGGGGGCAGCAGUGAGGGAUAUUGGUCAAUGGGGGAAACCCUGAACCAGCAACGCCGCGUGAGGGAAGACGGUUUUCGGAUUGUAAACCUCUGUCCUCUGUGAAGAUAAUGACGGUAGCAGAGGAGGAAGCUCCGGCUAACCACGUGCCAGCAGCCGCGGUAAUACGUAGGGGGCAAGCGUUAUCCGGAUUUACUGGGUGUAAAGGGAGCGUAGACGGCGCGGCAAGUCUGAAGUGAAAGGCAGGGGCUUAACCCCUGAACUGCUUUGGAAACUGCCAUGCUAGAGUGCUGGAGAGGUAG
This 305-nucleotide ribosomal RNA is filed under the name uncultured bacterium. Its description in RNAcentral is "bacterial SSU rRNA". It matches the Rfam family "Bacterial small subunit ribosomal RNA", at positions 338 to 660 of the family's 1533-position model. The record is from RNAcentral.